This 254-nucleotide ribosomal RNA is filed under the name uncultured bacterium. RNAcentral's name for it is "partial 16S ribosomal RNA". It matches the Rfam family "Bacterial small subunit ribosomal RNA", at positions 524 to 776 of the family's 1533-position model. The record is from RNAcentral.
UACGUAGGGUCCGAGCGUUGUCCGGAAUUAUUGGGCGUAAAGAGCUCGUAGGCGGUGUGUCGCGUCGGCCGUGAAAACCUGCAGCUUAACUGUGGGCUUGCGGUCGAUACGGGCAUCACUGGAGUUCGGCAGGGGAGACUGGAAUUCCUGGCGUAGCGGUGAAAUGCGCAGAUAUCAGGAGGAACACCGGUGGCGAAGGCGGGUCUCUGGGCCGAUACUGACGCUGAGGAGCGAAAGCGUGGGGAGCGAACAGG